This 511-nucleotide ribosomal RNA is filed under the name uncultured Paracoccaceae bacterium. RNAcentral's name for it is "bacterial SSU rRNA". It matches the Rfam family "Bacterial small subunit ribosomal RNA", at positions 366 to 896 of the family's 1533-position model. The record is from RNAcentral. Lineage: Bacteria; Pseudomonadati; Pseudomonadota; Alphaproteobacteria; Rhodobacterales; Paracoccaceae.
GCUAAAUGGGGGCACCCUGAUCUAGCCAUGCCGCGUGUGUGAUGAAGGCCCUAGGGUCGUAAAGCACUUUCGCCAGAGAUGAUAAUGACAGUAUCUGGUAAAGAAACCCCGGCUAACUCCGUGCCAGCAGCCGCGGUAAUACGGAGGGGGUUAGCGUUGUUCGGAAUUACUGGGCGUAAAGCGCACGUAGGCGGAUUAGUAAGUUAGAGGUGAAAUCCCAGGGCUCAACCCUGGAACUGCCUUUAAUACUGCUAGUCUUGAGUUCGAGAGAGGUAAGUGGAAUUCCGAGUGUAGAGGUGAAAUUCGUAGAUAUUCGGAGGAACACCAGUGGCGAAGGCGGCUUACUGGCUCGAUACUGACGCUGAGGUGCGAAAGUGUGGGGAGCAAACAGGAUUAGAUACCCUGGUAGUCCACACCGUAAACGAUGAAUGCCAGACGUCAGCAAGUAUACUUGUUGGUGUCACACCUAACGGAUUAAGCAUUCCGCCUGGGGAGUACGGUCGCAAGAUUA